RNAcentral lists this ribosomal RNA (1665 nucleotides) under Schistura balteata. Its description in RNAcentral is "16S ribosomal RNA". It matches the Rfam family "Bacterial large subunit ribosomal RNA". The record is from RNAcentral. Lineage: Eukaryota; Metazoa; Chordata; Actinopteri; Cypriniformes; Nemacheilidae.
GCCAAACAGCUAGCUUAACUACAGAAUAAAUAAUCAACAUAAAUAACCUUAAAUAACCUAAACCAACAAAUCAAACCAUUUUUCCACCUUAGUACGGGAGACGGAAAGGGCCACUACAAGCAAUAGAAAAAGUACCGCAAGGGAAAGCUGAAAGAGCAGUGAAACAACCCAUACAAGCAUAAAAAAGCAAAGACUAAACCUUGUACCUUUUGCAUCAUGAUUUAGCCAGUACCAUCAAGCAAAGAGACCUUUAGUUUGAAACCCCGAAACCAAGUGAGCUACCCCGGGACAGCCUGCAAGGGCCAACCCGUCUCUGUGGCAAAAGAGUGGGAAGAACCCCGGGUAGAGGCGAUAAACCUACCGAACUUGGUGAUAGCUGGUUACCUAGGAAAUGAAUAGAAGUUCAGCCUCGUGCCCCUUUAUCCAAACAAGAAAAAUCUAGUUAAGCACACAAGAAAAACACGAGAGUUAAUUAAAGGGGGUACAGCCCCUUUAAUCAAGGAUACAACCUUAAACAGGAGGAUAAAGAUCAUACUUUUCAAAAACCCUCGUCUCAGUGGGCCUAAAAGCAGCCAUCUGACCAGAAAGCGUUAAAGCUCAGACGACACUAAAUUUAUUAUCCUGAUAAAUAAUCUUAAUCCCCUAACUUUACUAGGCCAUUCCAUGCCGACAUGGAAGAGACUAUGCUAGAAUGAGUAACAAGAGGCCAAACCUCUCCAAGCAUAAGUGUAAAUCAGAUCGGACAGACCACUGAAAAUUAACGAACACCAAAAAAGAGUGUAAUGUGAGCUACAAUAUAACCAAGAAAAUAUCACACAAAAAAUCGUUAACCUCACACUAGAAUGCCGCCAAGGAAAGACUAAAAGAUAAGGAAGGAACUCGGCAAACACAAACCUCGCCUGUUUACCAAAAACAUCGCCUCCUGCAAACCUCUAUGUAUAGGAGGUCCAGCCUGCCCAGUGACUACAAGUUCAACGGCCGCGGUAUUUUGACCGUGCAAAGGUAGCGCAAUCACUUGUCUUUUAAAUGAAGACCUGUAUGAAUGGCCAAACGAGGGCUUAGCUGUCUCCCCUAUCAAGUCAGUGAAAUUGAUUUAUCCGUGCAGAAGCGGAUAUGAGCAUACAAGACGAGAAGACCCUUUGGAGCUUAAGGUACAAACCCACCUACGUCAAACAACCUUAAUAACAGGCACAAACCUAGUAGAUAUGAAAUUUUACCUUCGGUUGGGGCGACCACGGAGAAUAAAUAAUCCUCCAAGUGGAUUGGGAACUCUCCUAAAACUAAGAAAGACAAUUCCAAGUCACAGAAAAUCUGACCAAAUAUGAUCCGACCUAGUCGAUCAACGAACCAAGUUACCCUAGGGAUAACAGCGCAAUCCCCUCCAAGAGUCCAUAUCGACGAGAGGGUUUACGACCUCGAUGUUGGAUCAGGACAUCCUAAUGGUGCAGCCGCUAUUAAGGGUUCGUUUGUUCAACGAUUAAAGUCCUACGUGAUCUGAGUUCAGACCGGAGUAAUCCAGGUCAGUUUCUAUCUGUAACAUCAUUUUUCCUAGUACGAAAGGACCGGAAAAAAGAGGCCUAUGCUAAAAGCACGCCUCACCCCUAACUAAUGAAAACAACUAAAUUAGAUAAAGGGAGGAUUCAAAAAAUACCUAAAUAAGGUCAU